Molecule: ribosomal RNA, 253 nt
Filed under: uncultured prokaryote
Description: partial 16S ribosomal RNA
Rfam family: Bacterial small subunit ribosomal RNA
Source: RNAcentral
ACAGAGGGUGCGAGCGUUGUCCGGAAUCACUGGGCGUAAAGGGCGCGUAGGCGGCCUGGUAAGCAGGGGGUGAAAUUCUGCAGCUCAACCGCAGAGCUGCCUUCUGAACUGCCAGGCUGGAGCACGGUAGAGGCAGAUGGAAUUCCCGGUGUAGCGGUGGAAUGCGUAGAGAUCGAGAGGAACACCUGCGGCGAAGGCGGGUUGCUGGGCUGACACUGACGCUGAUGUGCGAAAGCUAGGGGAGCGAACGGGA